Molecule: ribosomal RNA, 1556 nt
Filed under: Escherichia coli
Lineage: Bacteria; Pseudomonadati; Pseudomonadota; Gammaproteobacteria; Enterobacterales; Enterobacteriaceae
Description: bacterial SSU rRNA
Rfam family: Bacterial small subunit ribosomal RNA
Source: RNAcentral
UUAAAUUGAAGAGUUUGAUCAUGGCUCAGAUUGAACGCUGGCGGCAGGCCUAACACAUGCAAGUCGAACGGUAACAGGAAGCAGCUUGCUGCUUCGCUGACGAGUGGCGGACGGGUGAGUAAUGUCUGGGAAACUGCCUGAUGGAGGGGGAUAACUACUGGAAACGGUAGCUAAUACCGCAUAACGUCGCAAGACCAAAGAGGGGGACCUUCGGGCCUCUUGCCAUCGGAUGUGCCCAGAUGGGAUUAGCUUGUUGGUGGGGUAACGGCUCACCAAGGCGACGAUCCCUAGCUGGUCUGAGAGGAUGACCAGCCACACUGGAACUGAGACACGGUCCAGACUCCUACGGGAGGCAGCAGUGGGGAAUAUUGCACAAUGGGCGCAAGCCUGAUGCAGCCAUGCCGCGUGUAUGAAGAAGGCCUUCGGGUUGUAAAGUACUUUCAGCGGGGAGGAAGGGAGUGAAGUUAAUACCUUUGCUCAUUGACGUUACCCGCAGAAGAAGCACCGGCUAACUCCGUGCCAGCAGCCGCGGUAAUACGGAGGGUGCAAGCGUUAAUCGGAAUUACUGGGCGUAAAGCGCACGCAGGCGGUUUGUUAAGUCAGAUGUGAAAUCCCCGGGCUCAACCUGGGAACUGCAUCUGAUACUGGCAAGCUUGAGUCUCGUAGAGGGGGGUAGAAUUCCAGGUGUAGCGGUGAAAUGCGUAGAGAUCUGGAGGAAUACCGGUGGCGAAGGCGGCCCCCUGGACGAAGACUGACGCUCAGGUGCGAAAGCGUGGGGAGCAAACAGGAUUAGAUACCCUGGUAGUCCACGCCGUAAACGAUGUCGACUUGGAGGUUGUGCCCUUGAGGCGUGGCUUCCGGAGCUAACGCGUUAAGUCGACCGCCUGGGGAGUACGGCCGCAAGGUUAAAACUCAAAUGAAUUGACGGGGGCCCGCACAAGCGGUGGAGCAUGUGGUUUAAUUCGAUGCAACGCGAAGAACCUUACCUGGUCUUGACAUCCACGGAAGUUUUCAGAGAUGAGAAUGUGCCUUCGGGAACCGUGAGACAGGUGCUGCAUGGCUGUCGUCAGCUCGUGUUGUGAAAUGUUGGGUUAAGUCCCGCAACGAGCGCAACCCUUAUCCUUUGUUGCCAGCGGUCCGGCCGGGAACUCAAAGGAGACUGCCAGUGAUAAACUGGAGGAAGGUGGGGAUGACGUCAAGUCAUCAUGGCCCUUACGACCAGGGCUACACACGUGCUACAAUGGCGCAUACAAAGAGAAGCGACCUCGCGAGAGCAAGCGGACCUCAUAAAGUGCGUCGUAGUCCGGAUUGGAGUCUGCAACUCGACUCCAUGAAGUCGGAAUCGCUAGUAAUCGUGGAUCAGAAUGCCACGGUGAAUACGUUCCCGGGCCUUGUACACACCGCCCGUCACACCAUGGGAGUGGGUUGCAAAAGAAGUAGGUAGCUUAACCUUCGGGAGGGCGCUUACCACUUUGUGAUUCAUGACUGGGGUGAAGUCGUAACAAGGUAACCGUAGGGGAACCUGCGGUUGGAUCACCUCCUUACCUUAAAGAAGC